GGUGGUGUAGCUCAGUGGUAGAGCACUGCCCAGCAUGCUGAGGCCUUGGGUUCAAAUCCCCAGCCACCA
Molecule: transfer RNA, 69 nt
Filed under: Marmota marmota marmota (Alpine marmot)
Lineage: Eukaryota; Metazoa; Chordata; Mammalia; Rodentia; Sciuridae
Also listed under: 1 other name
Rfam family: tRNA
About the family: Transfer RNA (tRNA) molecules are approximately 80 nucleotides in length. Their secondary structure includes four short double-helical elements and three loops (D, anti-codon, and T loops). Further hydrogen bonds mediate the characteristic L-shaped molecular structure. tRNAs have two regions of fundamental functional importance: the anti-codon, which is responsible for specific mRNA codon recognition, and the 3' end, to which the tRNAs corresponding amino acid is attached (by aminoacyl-tRNA synthetases). tRNAs cope with the degeneracy of the genetic code in two manners: having more than one tRNA (with a specific anti-codon) for a particular amino acid; and 'wobble' base-pairing, i.e. permitting non-standard base-pairing at the 3rd anti-codon position.
Source: Rfam by way of RNAcentral